Molecule: ribosomal RNA, 795 nt
Filed under: uncultured Streptococcus sp.
Lineage: Bacteria; Bacillati; Bacillota; Bacilli; Lactobacillales; Streptococcaceae
Description: bacterial SSU rRNA
Rfam family: Bacterial small subunit ribosomal RNA
Source: RNAcentral
UACAUGCAAGUAGAACGCUGAAGAGAGGAGCUUGCUCUUCUUGGAUGAGUUGCGAACGGGUGAGUAACGCGUAGGUAACCUGCCUUGUAGCGGGGGAUAACUAUUGGAAACGAUAGCUAAUACCGCAUAACAAUGGAUGACACAUGUCAUUUAUUUGAAAGGGGCAAUUGCUCCACUACAAGAUGGACCUGCGUUGUAUUAGCUAGUAGGUGAGGUAACGGCUCACCUAGGCGACGAUACAUAGCCGACCUGAGAGGGUGAUCGGCCACACUGGGACUGAGACACGGCCCAGACUCCUACGGGAGGCAGCAGUAGGGAAUCUUCGGCAAUGGGGGCAACCCUGACCGAGCAACGCCGCGUGAGUGAAGAAGGUUUUCGGAUCGUAAAGCUCUGUUGUAAGUCAAGAACGAGUGUGAGAGUGGAAAGUUCACACUGUGACGGUAGCUUACCAGAAAGGGACGGCUAACUACGUGCCAGCAGCCGCGGUAAUACGUAGGUCCCGAGCGUUGUCCGGAUUUAUUGGGCGUAAAGCGAGCGCAGGCGGUUUGAUAAGUCUGAAGUUAAAGGCUGUGGCUCAACCAUAGUUCGCUUUGGAAACUGUCAAACUUGAGUGCAGAAGGGGAGAGUGGAAUUCCAUGUGUAGCGGUGAAAUGCGUAGAUAUAUGGAGGAACACCGGUGGCGAAAGCGGCUCUCUGGUCUGUAACUGACGCUGAGGCUCGAAAGCGUGGGGAGCGAACAGGAUUAGAUACCCUGGUAGUCCACGCCGUAAACGAUGAGCGCUAGGUGUUGGAUCC